This is a long non-coding RNA of Cebus imitator (Panamanian white-faced capuchin), 429 nucleotides long. RefSeq lists it as uncharacterized. The transcript is spliced from 3 exons. The record is from RefSeq and is a predicted model, not a curated record. NCBI's taxonomy places the organism in Eukaryota, Metazoa, Chordata, Mammalia, Primates, Cebidae.
AUCAGUGGCAUUUCAUAGUUCUGUAGUGUUUUUCUAUUUUCACAAAUUAACAUAGCAAUCUUGUGCUGCCUAUGCAUGGAUAUUCACUUUUGCAGAUGAGGAAACAAGAAUUCACAUAUGAAGCAAAAUAAGUGAGACCCAAGGCUCCAGAUUCUACAACAGAUGCUUCCCAUAUCUAUGCCUAAUGAAGACAUCGUAUUUGAGGAAACAUAUAGAAAGAAGAGAAGUCUCUGAAACCUGAACAACAGGUUGGAAAGACUCAAAGCUGUACUAAGCCUUCUAAACCAUGAAAACAUUCUGGACCCUUAAGUACACAGUCUCCAAACACCUUCACAGUAGAAACUUCUGUCCUGUCAACUUGCUCAGAGGGUUGCAUAUCUGCCAAAUCUUCUAUAAUUACAGAAGGGGUUCCAUAGCAAGUAAGUUCAA